RNAcentral lists this microRNA precursor (135 nucleotides) under Hordeum vulgare. RNAcentral describes it as "microRNA MIR1122". It matches the Rfam family "MIR1120/MIR1122 microRNA precursor family". The record is from RNAcentral. Lineage: Eukaryota; Viridiplantae; Streptophyta; Magnoliopsida; Poales; Poaceae.
CUUGUACUUCCUUUGUCCCAAACUCUUGUCUUGGAUUUAUUUAGAUAUGAAUGUAUGUAGUCACAUUUUAGUAUUUAGAUACAUCCAUUUCUAGACAAACCUAAGACAAGAAUUUUGGGAUGGAGGGAGUAUUAA